CCUACGGGUGGCUGCAGUAGGGGAUAUUGCUCAAUGGGGGAAACCCUGAAGCAGCAACGCCGCGUGGAGGAUGAAGGUUUUCGGAUUGUAAACUCCUUUUGUUAGAGAAGAUAAUGACGGUAUCUAACGAAUAAGCACCGGCCAACUCCGUGCCAGCAGCCGCGGUAAUACGGAGGGUGCCAGCGUUACUCGGAAUUACUUGGCGGAAAGAGCGCGGAGGCGGGGUAGCAAGGCAGAUGUGAAAUCCUAUGGCUUAAACAUGGAACUGCAUUUGAAACUGUUAUUCUAGAGUAUGGGAGAGGUAGGUGGAAUUCUUGGUGUAGGGGUAAAAUGCGUAGAGAUCAAGAGGAAUACUCAUGGCGAAGGCGACCUGCUAGAACAUAACUGACGCUGAUGCGCGAAAGCGUGGGGAGCAAACAGGAUUAGAUACCCGGGUAGUC
This 440-nucleotide ribosomal RNA is filed under the name uncultured bacterium. RNAcentral's name for it is "partial 16S ribosomal RNA". It matches the Rfam family "Bacterial small subunit ribosomal RNA", at positions 338 to 795 of the family's 1533-position model. The record is from RNAcentral.